Molecule: ribosomal RNA, 231 nt
Filed under: uncultured bacterium
Lineage: Bacteria
Description: partial 16S ribosomal RNA
Rfam family: Bacterial small subunit ribosomal RNA
Source: RNAcentral
UGAGUAACACGUAUGCAAUCCACCUGUAACAGGGGGAUAACCCGGAGAAAUCCGGACUAAUACCCCAUAAUAUGGGCGCUCCGCAUGGAGAGCCCAUUAAAGAGAGCAAUCUUGGUUACAGACGAGCAUGCGCUCCAUUAGCCAGUUGGCGGGGUAACGGCCCACCAAAGCGACGAUGGAUAGGGGUUCUGAGAGGAAGGUCCCCCACAUUGGAACUGAGACACGGUCCAA